RNAcentral lists this unclassified non-coding RNA (338 nucleotides) under soil metagenome. Its description in RNAcentral is "partial contains 5.8S ribosomal RNA, internal transcribed spacer 2, and large subunit ribosomal RNA". The stretch from base 1 to 120 matches the Rfam family "5.8S ribosomal RNA", at positions 35 to 154 of the family's 154-position model. The record is from RNAcentral.
GAUGAAGAACGUAGCGAAAUGCGAUAAGUAAUGUGAAUUGCAGAAUUCAGUGAAUCAUCGAAUCUUUGAACGCACAUUGCGCCCGGUAGUAUUCUGCCGGGCAUGCCUGUUCGAGCGUCAUUUCAACCAUCAAGCCCCAGCGCUUGUGUUGGGGGCCUGCGGCUGCCGCAGCCCCCUAAAAGCAGUGGCGGGCUCGCUAUCACACCGAGUGCAGUAGUUCAUCUUCUCUCCUGUCUUGUGAGGCGGGUUCCGGCCGUGAAACACCCCACUACAUUCAAGGUUGACCUCGGAUCAGGUAGGAAUACCCGCUGAACUUAAGCAUAUCAAUAAGCGGAGGA